UUUCAGGGAAGAAAAUCUCUUAAGAAAGUGGCAGAGAUAAAGAGCUCCCGGCCCCUGGGUGCACCCAGGGGGCUGCUUUACCUAACAUCCCGCUCACAGGAUGAGAGUGCUGGAUCAGCCUGGUGUCAGCUCCUGAGCUUCUGACUCAGGGGGAGAGAUUCCCGGAAAACAAAGCAGAAGCUUUUCUACCUGUGUCAGCAGGAAGUGCCUGGGAGACAAAAGAGAGAAUUCUAUAACCAGUGGCCUCUGUCCGAGAACACAGAAGAAAAUGAAGCCAGGCAAACAACAGAGAAAAGUGAACCACAGAAGAACAAACUCGAAUGAAACUGCUUAACAAUCCUACAGCGCAAGCCCAGCAGUCCACAGGCUGAGCUCACACAUUCCUGCAUUCCCGGGUGGCCCAGCCAGUGUGAAAUUAUUUCCUCCUUGGAUUGCAGAGCCAUUGCUGCAGUUCUGGAGAUACCAUCAUGCAGAGCUACCUCCAAUCUUUUGCAGCUCACCCAGGGGCCUCAGACUGAAGAGAAUUCCUCCCCAGGGCAUUCAACACCUGCCGGACCAAGCUGACAACAUUCAAGAGGAGGGUGUUCUUUUAAGAACAUACAGUAUGGAAAAGAAGAGCUGGAAAAUUCUCAAAGACUCUUCUCAUGUUAGCAGCCAUGUUUCUGCAAUUAUGUUUUAGAAAGCAUUCAUCUGCAAAAAUAAUUACAAGGAGAAUGUACAAUGAGAAGUGGUCUGUGUCAUGUCUGCUUAGAAGAAUGUCAAGAUCCCUCCAUUUGGCAUUUUGGCGCCCAGGAAGAAAAAGUGGAUGAAGAGGCCCCUUUGGGUAUCUUGUUAACAACUGAAGAGCCACAUUUUACAGCCAGAGAAGCUGUGACUCUUCACACACUCCUCUCUGACUCUCCCUGUGCCACACGAGAGUAAUGCCCUUUAUGGAGGGCCUGUAGGAAGCAUUCUACAUGCACUAUCUCAUUUAAUUCUCAUAACAUGUGAAAAGGGCAGGGGUCAGCAAACUGUGGUCAGCCACCUGUCUUUGUAAAUACAGUUUUACUGACACAGCCGCUGCCAUUCAUUUACAUAUUGUCUUUGGCUGCUUUUACACUAAGGGCAGAUCUCAGUAGUUGCCACAGAACCCUAUGCCCCAUAUUGGAGAGAAAUCUGCAUCCCCGUGUGCAUGUAGCAAUAUUCACAAUAACCAAGGUUAUGGUAACAACCUA
This is a non-coding RNA of Manis javanica (Malayan pangolin), 1214 nucleotides long. The record is from RefSeq and is a predicted model, not a curated record. Lineage: Eukaryota; Metazoa; Chordata; Mammalia; Pholidota; Manidae.